GAGAAAACGUGUGAUAUGUCAUAAUUGCAGGUUAUGGUGAUGCCUCAAAAUUUACACCUAAAUGAGACAUUAGAGCAUCUACAAUGGUUGGUGCUUUACCUAUUUAACACCGGAAUAAAUAAGCGCCUCCAUCGUGAAGAGAAAAUGUUUGGUACUUAUAGAGAAUGGUGACUAUGUAAUCACUCUCUCUCUUUACUUUUCGUGGGCCAUACAUCAUUAAUUGUACACAAAUCAAGAAACUUUAAUGAAAUACAAUGACAUUGAAUUAUUAAUGACUUAUUUAGUAUCUUUUUUCUGAAGUGCUGGGUUGGAGAGAACGGAUGCUUAUUAAGUAAUAUCAUUGAAAAUUAAAAAAAUAGAUGACAUGUACAUGCACGACCCACUUAAACACUUAAAAUAGAGUGCUCUGUUGUAGAUGAUCUUAUAAAUAAAACUCUUUUGUACCUUAUUUCAUUAAUUUCAUUGCAAUCGCCGAUCUCCUUAGAGUAAAAACCAUAACUCCAAGAUUCAUGAAAUUAAUUCACUAAAAAAAAAAAGAUUCAUGAAAUAAGGGAAAAAAAGAAGGGAAAUAAAUACAAUUAUUCGAUGCAUGCACUGAAACUAAAUGUAAGCUCAUGUAAUAUUCUACAUUAGAUACAUUGUUCACUGAUUUUGCUAGCACGAGAAAUCAUUCAGAGGAUAUUUACACAAAAACCUUUACGACACCUAAUAUUAAAACUUUUGACCUUUGGACAAUCUUUAUCUUUUAUACAAGAAUAAUCUGCCAAAUUAAGAGAAUCAGAUAUUGUUAUGACAAAACAUAUGGAAAUAAAUAAAAUUAAAACAUAAACAAAUUUAAAAGUUUCAGCCAUAUUU
This 855-nucleotide long non-coding RNA is filed under the name Medicago truncatula (barrel medic). RNAcentral describes it as "lncRNA gene39933". Lineage: Eukaryota; Viridiplantae; Streptophyta; Magnoliopsida; Fabales; Fabaceae. The record is from RNAcentral.